Small nuclear RNA from Lutra lutra (Eurasian river otter), 104 nucleotides. The record is from RefSeq and is a predicted model, not a curated record. NCBI's taxonomy places the organism in Eukaryota, Metazoa, Chordata, Mammalia, Carnivora, Mustelidae.
GUUCUUACUAUGGCAGCACAUAUACUAAAAUUGGAAAGACAGAAAGAUUAACAUAGCCCCUGCACAAGGAUGACAUGCCCAUUUGUGAAGCAUUCCAUAUUUUU